Molecule: ribosomal RNA, 1275 nt
Filed under: Triticum aestivum (bread wheat)
Lineage: Eukaryota; Viridiplantae; Streptophyta; Magnoliopsida; Poales; Poaceae
Description: partial small subunit ribosomal RNA
Source: RNAcentral
AUGGGAUUGGGGGGCAUGAGAGGCGGCAUCGGGGGAGGGGGCGCCGGCUCGGGCGAGAGGUGGCGGUGGAUCCUCUUCCUCUCGCUGGUCUCCGUCUCCUUCCUCCUCUCGUUCCUCUUCCUCUUCCUCUCCGCCUACUCCUCCCCGACACGCCUCCGCCUCCCUGGGCUCACCACCGCCCGCGCCGCCGCCGGAGUCCGCCGCGGCCCCGACGCGCUCCCCUGCCUCGCCUACCUCCUCAUCGGCGCCCGGGGCGACGGGCACCGCCUCCUACGACUCCUCCUCGCAGUCUACCACCCACGCAACCGCUACAUCCUUCACCUCUCCGCCGACGCCUCCCACGAAGAGCGCCGGGACCUUGCUGCUGGGGUCGCCGCCGCGGCGCCCGCCGCUGUCUCUUUCGACAACGUCGCUCUUGUGGGCACGCCUACCGCGGGGACACCCGUCGGGUCGUCGGGCCUCGCCGGCACGUUACGCGCGGCUGCUGUCCUGCUCCGCCUCCACCCCGACUGGGACUGGUUCCUCACCCUCAACGCCGCCGAUUAUCCCCUCGUCACCCAGGACGAUUUGAUCCAUGCCUUGUCGUAUGUUCCAAGGGAAUUUAACUUCAUUGAUCACACUAGUGACAUUGGACGGAAAGAAUCUGAAAAAGUGCAAUCGAUGAUAGUGGAUGCUGGAAUAUACUUGUCAGGGAGGACCAACUUCUUCCGAGCCACACAGAAACGACCAAGUCCUGAUGCUUUCAAGUUCUUCACAGGUUCUCCAUGGGUUAUUCUGAACCGACGGUUUAUAGAGUACUGUGUUCUUGGUUGGGAGAAUCUUCCUCGGCUUCUUCUCAUGUACUUCAACAAUGUAAUGCUACCUCAGGAAGGAUAUUUCCACUCAGUCAUAUGCAACUCGCUUGACUUCCGUAAUUCCACUGUUAACAAUGACUUGAGGUACAAGGUGUGGGAUGAUCCACCUCAGACAGAGCCCCUUUUUCUCAGCAUGGCACAUUAUAAUAAGAUGGUGGACAGUGGACAGCCUUUUGCAAGGCGGUUUCAAGCGAAUGGACCGUUGCUGGACAAGAUCGAUGAGAAACUACUUAAGCGUCCGGGCCAUGGGCCUGUUCCUGGUGCCUGGUGCGCAGGAAGGAAGAGCUGGUUCAUUGACCCAUGUUCCCAGUGGAGCGACGUGAAUGUUGUGAAACCUGGUCCUCAAGCCUUGAAGUUGCAGCAAUAUAUCAAUUGGACCUUGGAAGAGGCAGAUUCUGGCGCAAAAUCGUGCAGGCUAUAG